This 468-nucleotide ribosomal RNA is filed under the name uncultured bacterium. Its description in RNAcentral is "partial 16S ribosomal RNA". It matches the Rfam family "Bacterial small subunit ribosomal RNA", at positions 28 to 507 of the family's 1533-position model. The record is from RNAcentral.
GACGAACGCUGGCGGCGUGCUUAACACAUGCAAGUCGAACGGAAAGGCCCUGCUUUUGUGGGGUGCUCGAGUGGCGAACGGGUGAGUAACACGUGAGUAACCUGCCCUUGACUUUGGGAUAACUUCAGGAAACUGGGGCUAAUACCGGAUAGGAGCUCCUGCUGCAUGGUGGGGGUUGGAAAGUUUCGGCGGGUGGGGAUGGACUCGCGGCUUAUCAGCUUGUUGGUGGGGUAGUGGCUUACCAAGGCUUUGACGGGUAGCCGGCCUGAGAGGGUGACCGGCCACAUUGGGACUGAGAUACGGCCCAGACUCCUACGGGAGGCAGCAGUGGGGAAUAUUGCACAAUGGGCGGAAGCCUGAUGCAGCAACGCCGCGUGCGGGAUGACGGCCUUCGGGUUUUAACCCGCUUUCGCCUGUGACGAAGCGUGAGUGACGGUAAUGGGUUAAGAAGCACCGGCUAACUACGUG